Molecule: ribosomal RNA, 253 nt
Filed under: uncultured bacterium
Lineage: Bacteria
Description: partial 16S ribosomal RNA
Rfam family: Bacterial small subunit ribosomal RNA
Source: RNAcentral
CACGUAGGGGACGAGCGUUGUCCGGAUUCAUUGGGCGUAAAGCGUGCGUAGGCGGCUCGGAAAGUCGGUCGUGAAAUGCCGGGGCUCAACCCCGGGACUGCGUCCGAUACUUCCGGGCUGGAGGUAGGUAGGGGAGAUCGGAAUUCCUGGUGUAGCGGUGAAAUGCGCAGAUAUCAGGAGGAACACCGGUGGCGAAGGCGGAUCUCUGGGCCUUACCUGACGCUGAGGCGCGAAAGCUAGGGGAGCGAACAGG